AAAAAUCAAGACCAACCAAAGCCGUAAAUAAUAAAGUCUCUGUAUUUUCAUUGUUGAUAAUUAUUUGUUCUUUAACAAUGUCUGACUGUAAAAUUACAGCAUAUUUUUUCCUGUAGAUAAAUCAGUGUCAUAUCAGAAGUCAGAUUGUUAUUCUGCAGUUAGAGAUCAACAGGAUCAAUCAUCCAUCCAUUCAUUCAAAAAGAGAUAUGAAAUAACCACAAAGAUGCACAAAACAAGUCAUAUCAUCCAUAAACUGAUGUAAAAGAACCACAAGGAUGCAUAGAACAAGCAAAAUAAGAACAAAAUUGAUGAAAACUACCAAAAUAAGACACAAACCAACCAAGAAGAGAAACAAAAGAAAUAAUAACAUUCAUCAACUGAUGCAAAACAAACACAAAGAGACACAAAAUAAGUAAAAUGUGACAAAAAUGGAUGGAAAACAACCAAAAUAAGAUACAAAACCAGCAUAAAUAUAGAAAAUGACCUCAGAGAUACACAAAACGAACUAAAAUCUGAUAUUAAAUGAUGCAAAACAGUGAUAAUGAGUUUUAGACAUCCACAAAGAGACCCACAACAAUUCACAUCAGUUGUUAAACAGCGCAAAAGAAGUAAAAUCAGACAAGCAACAGCACAAUAAGAAACAAAACAUCCACAACAAGUCUUCUUGUUUUUAAUAAUGCACAUAAAAGUGGAACACUAAAGGUUGUGUUCUUCACUGCAGAGUCCCUGAACUGACAGAAACUAUUUUCCUUGACAAGUGGAGGUUAACUGUGUUUGUGGUUUUGUUGUAUCAGGCAGAAGGAAGGUCAAAGUUUUCUUCAACAAACUGGAAAAAUGGAAUAAAACUCUUCUUCUGGUCGAAGUUCCCUGAGAUACAGACGAAUUCUCCUCUAAUGUGUUAAUCUGAAAAUGAGUGAAAAAACAUUCUAAUCUCAUGGAUGAAUGACAAACUCUGCUGUCCUACUUUUAUUACAGACAGUGAACUAACCACAGACUGUCCUACUUUUAUUCCAGACAGUGAACUUGAACAUCAGCUGAUGUUUCCUGUUGAUGCAUGAUUCGGUUUCCUGGAAUGAAACACACCCCAGAGUUACAGUCGAAGCAAGAGAAGUGCUGUGGCGAAGCUCCACCCCUCAACUGGCUCAUCUCACACAAACCAGGAAACAGUUUGUGAUUCUUUCUCGGUAAAGAGAAACUCAGACGAUCAGACGGAGCUUCAGCGUCCUCAGACUGAGUCCAGCUACAACACUGCUGCUUCCAGCUGCUGACACUCCAAACACUGAAGCUUCACUCACACAAUAAAUGGAUUCCAGAUCAGAGGAGGAUCUCUGCUGUCCGGUCUGUCAGGACGUCUUCAAAGAUCCUGUUCUUCUGUCAUGUAGCCACAGCUUCUGUAGAGACUGUCUGAAGACCUGGUGGAGACAGAAACCAACACGCGACUGUCCAGUUUGUAAGACAAGAUCUUCAAAAACAAAUCCACCUUGUAACCUGGUUUUAAAGAAUUUGUGUGAGUCCUUCCAGCAGCAGAGAUCUCAGAGAUCUUCAGAGUCUUUCUGCAGUUUACACUCUGAGAAACUCAAACUCUUCUGUCUGGAUCAUCAGCAGCCAGUGUGUGUCGUCUGCAGUCAUUCACAAAAACACUCCAACCACAGAUUCAGACCCAUUGAUGAAGAAGCACGACAACAAAAGAAGGAACUUCAGGAAACUCUGAAGCCCUUAAAGGAGAAACUGAAGGUUUCUGAACAAGUUAAAGUGAAGUUUGAUCAAACAGCAAAACACAUUAAGGUCCAGGCCCGACACACAGAGAGGCAGAUUAAGGAGCAGUUUGAGAAGCUUCACCAGUUUCUGAUAAAGGAAGAGGAGGCCAGGAUGGCUGCACUGAGGGAGGAAGAGGAGCAGAAGACUGGGAUGAUGAAGGAGAAGAUGGAGGCUCUGAGCAGAGAGAUAGCAGAUCUUUCAGACACAGUCAGAGCCACAGAGGAGCAGCUGAGAGCUGAAGACGUCUCAUUCCUGCUAAACUACAAGGCUGCAGUGGAAAGAGUCCAGCGCUGCCUCCUGCUGGAGGAUCCACAGCUGCUCUCAGGAGCUCUCAUAGACCAGGCCAAACAUGUGGGCAACCUGAGCUUCAACAUCUGGAACAACAUGAAGGACAUGGUCUCCUACACUCCUCUCAUUCUGGACCCAAACACUGCACAUCCAAACCUCCUCCUGUCUGAAGAUCUGACCAGUGUGAGACGUGGAGAUAAACAGCAGCUUCCUGAUAAUCCAGAGAGGUUUGAUUAUUUCAUCUCUGUUCUGAGCUCUGAAGGCUUCAACUCAGGAACUCACAGCUGGGAUGUUGAGGUUGGAGACAGUAAAUGCUGGUCACUGGCUGUGAUAGAAGAGUCUGUCAAGAGGAAGGGAAUGAUGCGGUCUGGAUUUUGUGGAAUAGGGCUCUUUGGAGAUAAAUGCUAUACACGUUCACCACCAUCUCCCUUCAUUGUUCUCUCAGUGCAGAAGAAACUCCAGAGGAUCAGAGUGAAUCUGGACUGUAACAGAGGAAAGCUGUCCUUCUCUGAUCUUGACACUAAAACACUCAUACACACCUUCAAUCACACUUUCACUCAGAGGAUGUUUCCGUACUUUGAGAAUGGUGAUAAAGUUCAGAUUUUACCAGAGAAGGUCUCAGUGACAGUGGAACAGAUCAGUUAGAGAUCAACAGGAUCAAUAGAUUCAGAACGUCUCUUUGUUGUUGUUUUUCUGGUUGUUGUUGGUGGUGGUUGCAUUUUUGUCUUUUUAUAUUUCUUUUUUACAUUUUACCUUCAAACCAUGAAUAUUUUCACACUCAAGUGGAUUUUUUUGGCUUUAGUUAACUUUUAAUCAAAUAAUCAAGAAACUGUACUUUAGAUUUUAUAAAGUUUCCAAUCAGUAAAAGGGAUUCAUGUUUAAUUCAGUUAAAAUGUUUUCUAUUUAGGGUAGAUGUUUUAAUGUGUUUCUGUUCCACUUUUAUGUAACACUGCUAAUUGAAAAGCUGAAUCUUUCUUUGACUGUCUUUAAGCCCCAAAGUUUAUGUAUUUUUGAUGAAUAUUUUCAUGAUUGUGAGCUGUUGUUGAACAGGGUUUCUCUGUGUUGUCAGUUUAUAGAUCAUAUCCAAUAAUGAUCAAUAUACAUUAUGACCAUAAAAACAAAAGAAAAACAGAUCCAAAUUUUAAGUCAUUUUGGUUUCAAAACUCUGUAUUUUAACAAAUGUUUCCACUGUUUGUAAAUCAGCAGAAAAAUAGAACUUUUUCCACAGAUGUUUGCUGUUUAAAAAUGUUUUUGGAUUAAAGAUUGAAAAAUGUUAGAAAUAAGUUUUUAUUUGGAUUCUACAAAUUGACUCAUUUGUUAAAUUAUAGAUGAUACAUUUUACAUAUUAACGCUAAAAAGACGACAAAUGUAAAUAAUGUGUACAAUGAUCUGUAUUUCUAUCAAAGUAACUUCUUGUUUGAAAAUAGAAUAUUUUUCACUGCACUUAACUCACCAACGUUUUCUCUCUUUUUUUAAAAUAAAUGUAAGUCAAGAUUUCACCGAAAAGGGCUGAUUAAAUAUUAAAGCAUAUCAAAUGAUUUUAACUGGUGUUCAACAGAUUUUCUGUGUUUUGUUCAUUUGUAGAUAAUAAUGAGUAAAAUUACAGAAAAGGUAUUAAUUUACAUGUUGACUGUAAAGAAAAAUAAAGACCAACCAAAGCCGUAAAUAAUAAAGUCUCUGUAUUUUCAUUGUUGAUAAUUAUUUGUUCUUUAACAAUGUCUGACUGUAAAAUUACAGCAUAUUUUUUCCUGUAGAUAAAUCAGUGUAAUAUCAGAAGUCAGAUUGUUAUUCUGCAGUUAGAGAUCAACAGGAUCAAUCAUCCAUCCAUUCAUUCAAAAAGAGAUAUGAAAUAACCACAAAGAUGCACAAAACAAGUCAUAUCAUCCAUCAACUGAUGUAAAAGAACCACAAGGAUGCAUAGAACAAGCAAAAUAAGACCAAAAUUGAUGGAAAAAACCAAAAUAAGACACAAACCAACCAAGAAGAGAAACAAAACAAAUAAUAUCAUUCAUCAACUGAUGCAAAACAAACACAAAGAGACACAAAAUAAGUAAAAUGUGACAAAAAUGGAUGGAAAACAACCAAAAUAAGAUACAAAACCAGCAUAAAUAUAGAAAAUGACCUCAGAGAUACACAAAACGAACUAAAAUAUGAUAUUAAAUGAUGCAAAACAGUGAUAAUGAGUAUUAGACAUCCACAAAGAGACCCACAACAAUUCACAUCAGUUGUUAAACAGCGCAAAAGAAGUAAAAUCAGACAAGCAACAGCACAAUAAGAAACAAAACAUCCACAAUAAGUCUUCUUGUUUUUAAUAAUGCACAUCAAAGUGGAACACUAAAGGUUGUGUUCUUCACUGCAGAGUCCCUGAACUGACAGAAACUAUUUUCCUUGACAAGUGGAGGUUAACUGUGUUUGUGGUUUUGUUGUAUCAGGCAGAAGGAAGGUCAAAGUUUUAUUCAACAAACUGGAAAAAUGGAAUAAAACUCUUCUUCUGGUCGAAGCUCCCUGAGAUACAGACGAAUUCUCCUCUGAUGUGUUAAUCUGAAAAUGAGUUAAAAAAACAUUCUAAUCUCAUGGAUGAAUGACAAACUCUGCUGUCCUACUUUUAUUCCAGACAGUGAACUAACCACAGACUGUCCUACUUUUAUUACAGACAGUGAACUUGAACAUCAGCUGACGUUUCCUGUUGAUGCAUGAUUCAGUUCUCUGAAAUGAAACACACCCCAGAGUUACAGUUGAAGCAAGAGAAGUGCUGUGGCGAAGCUCCACCCCUCAACUGGCUCAUCUCACACAAACCAGGAAACAGUUUGUGAUUCUUUCUCGGUAAAGAGAAACUCAGACGAUCAGACGGAGCUUCAGUGUCCUCAGACUGAGUCCAGCUACAACACUGCUGCUUCCAGCUGCUGACACUCCAAACACUGAAGAUUCACUCACACAAUAAAUGGCUUCCAGCUCAGAGGAGGAUCUCUGCUGUCCGGUCUGUCAGGACGUCUUCACAGAUCCUGUUCUUCUGUCAUGUAGCCACAGCUUCUGUAGAGACUGUCUGAAGACCUGGUG
Acanthochromis polyacanthus (spiny chromis) is the source of this 5103-nucleotide RNA transcript. It is a transcript of the gene named nuclear factor 7, brain-like, with no coding region annotated. The transcript is spliced from 3 exons. NCBI's taxonomy places the organism in Eukaryota, Metazoa, Chordata, Actinopteri, Pomacentridae. The record is from RefSeq and is a predicted model, not a curated record.